RNAcentral lists this ribosomal RNA (253 nucleotides) under uncultured bacterium. RNAcentral describes it as "partial 16S ribosomal RNA". It matches the Rfam family "Bacterial small subunit ribosomal RNA", at positions 524 to 776 of the family's 1533-position model. The record is from RNAcentral.
GACGAACCGUGCGAACGUUGUUCGGAAUCACUGGGCUUAAAGGGCGCGUAGGCGGGCUGUCAAGUCUGGGGUGAAAUCCCGCGGCUCAACCGUGGAACUGCCUCAGAUACUGACGGCCUCGAGGGAGGUAGGGGCGAGCGGAACUGUGAGUGGAGCGGUGAAAUGCGUUGAUAUUCACAGGAACUCCGGUGGCGAAGGCGGCUCGCUGGACCUCUUCUGACGCUGAGGAGCGAAAGCCAGGGGAGCAAACGGG